AACGAACGCUGGCGGCAGGCCUAACACAUGCAAGUCGAGCGAGGACUUCGGUUCUAGCGGCGGACGGGUGAGUAACGCGUGGGAAUGUGCCCUUCUCUACGGAAUAGCCCUGGGAAACUGGGAGUAAUACCGUAUACGCCCUAUUGGGGAAAGAUUUAUCGGAGAAGGAUCAGCCCGCGUUGGAUUAGGUAGUUGGUGGGGUAAUGGCCUACCAAGCCGACGAUCCAUAGCUGGUUUGAGAGGAUGAUCAGCCACACUGGGGCUGGGACACGGCCCAGACUCCUACGGGAGGCAGCAGUGGGGAAUCUUAGACAAUGGGUGCAACCCUGAUCUAGCCAUGCCGCGUGAGUGAUGAAGGCCUUAGGGUUGUAAAGCUCUUUCAGCUGGGAAGAUAAUGACGGUACCAGCAGAAGAAGCCCCGGCUAACUCCGUG
Molecule: ribosomal RNA, 433 nt
Filed under: uncultured bacterium
Lineage: Bacteria
Description: partial 16S ribosomal RNA
Rfam family: Bacterial small subunit ribosomal RNA
Source: RNAcentral